AAUCUUUGGAAAGAAACGCAACAAGACAUCAAAUGUUGUGGAAAAGUAUUGCAAGAGGGAUGACUGGCCAAUGGCAUUUAUCCGUUCAAAGCUGCAAUCGACAAUGACUUCCACCGGAAUAUCCGCCUGGACAAGAAAUUUAUUGGCUGGCUGACCACGAAUCACUACGCUAUUACUCUUGAGUUCGCUGGCGAUGCGAUUGCGAUCCGGGAAAUGGAUGCGGGUUCCAGUUUCUUUCAUCGUACGAUUGAUGUUCUUCCCCGAUCUGCCAAUAAGAUGCGAAUGAAAUGGAUAGCUCACUUCUAUCGAUAAAGUAGCUAAUAAUGGACCCUAUGAAGUAAAAGUAAGCAACGUUUAUAACUCUCUAUGUAAUUCAAAUCGGUAUUAAAAUUAAAGGGAUCAAGAUUAAUUGACUUACCAGAGAGUGCUGAGAAAGAGCUGGCGGAGGAGAGUUGACAGAGAACAUGGCAGGGCAUCGAUGGAAACGCGAAUGAUGGUUCUUCGUGGGAAGCACUGGGGGUAUUUAAGGCCAUUCGAGGUCAAACAACCUGAGUUCGUGGUCUCACCGUCAUCUUUCUUCUCCAAACAGAGCCGCUUUUCAGCAGAAGGGGGGAAGGCGUUGUUGGUCGCUUAAGCACUGGAUUAUCCCCAAGGAGGGCGUUAACAGCAAAGGGGGGACGGCAACAUUCUUUUCAUUUGAACUGCUUCUUUGGAAUCGAAAUUGCCGGAAAAAAAACAAAACAAAAACACGGUGUGUGUUGAAAACUGGGGGGUUCGCGCUGAAGUGUUGUGUUAUCGUGACUUUGGGAAUGGCUCUCUUUAACGGAGGGAUAAAUGACGACUACCUGCCCAAGAAUGACUCCACGAGUUGUUCAAUCCUUGCGACACCAUCCGCGGCAAAACAUUACUGUUGUUCGUCGUUUACUCCAGAACCAAAAACCAAUCAAAUAAGAUUAAAUCCGUCUGAUCGGUUUCGGACGUUCCGUAAGCUAGCAGAAAUAUCAGCCAUCAAUGUCAUACCAUACAAAGGAAUGAAGCACAAUCAUGUUUGAUACUUUUUUGUUUCUUUUCGCCUCAUUUUCCAUUCUUGCUUUGCUUGCGUGCUUGGACUGAUGGAAAAUCUGAUGGAAGAUACCGAUGGAAAAUCAGUGUUAUAUAAUCUUGGAUAUGCCUUUUUUAAAGCCAUAAUACGAACGUUUAUGAGUUUGCAGAGAGCAAUGGCAGUCGUCAGUGGGAAGAUACAGUCUCACUGCGGUGGCGUCAUCUGACGAUGUAUUUUCAUCAGUUUCCACUGUCAUUCAUUCUCCAAUUUUGUUUUUUAGAGUAAUCUACGAUAUUUUUGUUUCAUUGUUUUGUUUAUUUUUCACCUAAAUUCUACUUCUGUUAUAAGAAUGGCUUCAAAAUGUGUUUUCACAGAAAAGAGGAAGCCCGUUGGUAAGCAACAUAUUGAAACAGUUUCCAGACCAAAUUUAGAUCAAGCUUGUCAGUGACUCAUCAACGUCACUGAUUUUCUACAGGUCAGUGACUCAUCAAAGUCACUACUCAAAUGAAAACUUAUUUAAGUGGGUACUUUGAUUUCUGGAAUUAUUCCCGUGCAACUUCAUACAUGCCAAUCAUGCCCUGUUGGAUCAAUGAGCUUGAAACUUCACAUGGAAAUCAACACAUCUGGUUAUCCAGAACUGUUUCAGGUGAAACAUUCUUCCUUUUAAAUGCUCUAAUUUAUUUUCCUUUUUAGUACAAACCAACAUUACCACUUUCGGCUAACAACAAUGGUGUGCCACUGAGAAAAUGAACCAUGCUAGUAUCCCUUUACAUAAAGUUAAACCUAUUCAAAUCAGAUGUGAGAUUGGAUGUGAGAUUCACCAGGGACAAGAGCAUGGGUAGCGCUGUGCCCAUAAUCCCGGAUCGUAGUUAUACCGGGUAAAGGCUCAUUAUGGUAGCAACCAUAUUAGGCGUGGUGUCACGCUGUGUUUGAUUCUAAAGAAACAACAUCUGCAAACCAUCGUGCACCAAGUUUGGUGAGUGUGGAAUCUGAGAACUCCUGUCAUUUUGGAUUGACGUAAACUUUUCAGUAAUAUAGGAUGGGAAGAAUUUAUAUGUGCGUAUCAUCAACAAAACAAUUAUGGGAAUUAGAGAAAGGGGAUAUAGUCGUACAUUCAUAAAUUUAGGGGCUGUGUGUCAUUUCAGGAACGACGUAAUCUGCUUGCGUUGUAAUACGAAACAGUCAGAAAAUAGUAAGUCUACGAUGGGCCAGUA
Molecule: long non-coding RNA, 2256 nt
Organism: Daphnia magna
Lineage: Eukaryota; Metazoa; Arthropoda; Branchiopoda; Diplostraca; Daphniidae
Exons: 4
Source: RefSeq, a predicted model, not a curated record